UACGUAGGGUCCGAGCGUUGUCCGGAAUUAUUGGGCGUAAAGGGCUCGUAGGCGGUUUGUCGCGUCGGGAGUGAAAACACCGGGCUUAACUCGGUGCUUGCUUUCGAUACGGGCAGACUGGAGGUAUGCAGGGGAGAACGGAAUUCCUGGUGUAGCGGUGAAAUGCGCAGAUAUCAGGAGGAACACCGGUGGCGAAGGCGGAUCUCUGGGCCGAUACUGACGCUGAGGAGCGAAAGCGUGGGGAGCGAACAGG
Molecule: ribosomal RNA, 253 nt
Filed under: uncultured bacterium
Lineage: Bacteria
Description: partial 16S ribosomal RNA
Rfam family: Bacterial small subunit ribosomal RNA
Source: RNAcentral